GAAGAUCGUGAACCUGUCUUCUGAGCACUGUAACAUAUCAGAUUGGCUGAGGCUAGAAGCAACAGUGAAGGCCCCUGUCUAUGUGGUCACCUUCUCGUUUGCCACAGUCAUCACUGUCAUCAUUCUGGCAAUAGUAUUACAGAAUUCAAAGGUAAAGAAGAUUCUUGCUUCCUCUUCAUGCAUCCGCCAUGAUUGUGUUCUAAGUCUUGCCCCUCUCCAAUCCCAACUUUGAGAAGACAAAGCAUCACUUUUUCUUUUCCAGUGUUCAAGUAUCUUUCCAGGGAAGGCAUCAAGUCUUAGUACCUUUGUCCCCCAGGGGACCCAACAUGGGGCCUGGUGGACUGCAGGUCCUCAGAUUAAGAAACGGAUUCAUCAACCAAUAAAACAUACCUUUCUACAAACC
Molecule: long non-coding RNA, 403 nt
Organism: Symphalangus syndactylus (siamang)
Lineage: Eukaryota; Metazoa; Chordata; Mammalia; Primates; Hylobatidae
Source: RefSeq, a predicted model, not a curated record